This 559-nucleotide ribosomal RNA is filed under the name uncultured bacterium. RNAcentral describes it as "partial 16S ribosomal RNA". It matches the Rfam family "Bacterial small subunit ribosomal RNA", at positions 355 to 906 of the family's 1533-position model. The record is from RNAcentral.
UGGGGAAUUUUGGACAAUGGGCGCAAGCCUGAUCCAGCCAUGCCGCGCGCGGGAAGAAGGCCUUCGGGUUGUAAACCGCUUUUGUCAGGGAAGAAAUCUUCUGAGUUAAUACCUCGGGAGGAUGACGGUACCUGAAGAAUAAGCACCGGCUAACUACGUGCCAGCAGCCGCGGUAAUACGUAGGGUGCAAGCGUUAAUCGGAAUUACUGGGCGUAAAGCGUGCGUAGGCGGUUUUGUAAGACAGAGGUGAAAUCCCCGGGCUCAACCUGGGAACUGCCUUUGUGACUGCAAGGCUUGAGUGCGGCAGAGGGGGAUGGAAUUCCGCGUGUAGCAGUGAAAUGCGUAGAUAUGCGGAGGAACACCGAUGGCGAAGGCAAUCCCCUGGGCCUGCACUGACGCUCAUGCACGAAAGCGUGGGGAGCAAACGGGAUUAGAUACCCUGGUAGUCCACGCCCUAAACGAUGUCAACUGGUUGUUGGGAAGGUUCCUUCUCAGUAACGUAGCUAACGCGUGAAGUUGGACCGCCUGGGGAGUACGGCCGCAAGGUUGAAACUUAAAU